RNAcentral lists this ribosomal RNA (492 nucleotides) under uncultured bacterium. RNAcentral's name for it is "partial 16S ribosomal RNA". It matches the Rfam family "Bacterial small subunit ribosomal RNA", at positions 30 to 507 of the family's 1533-position model. The record is from RNAcentral.
AUUGAACGCUGGCGGCAUGCUUUACACAUGCAAGUCGAACGGUAACAGGCCUUCGGGUGCUGACGAGUGGCGAACGGGUGAGUAAUGCAUCGGAACGUGCCCAGAGGUGGGGGAUAACGCAGCGAAAGCUGUGCUAAUACUGCAUGUGAUCUGAGGAUGAAAGCGGGGGACCAGGCAGCAAUGUUUGGCCUCGCGCCUUUGGAGCGGCCGAUGUCAGAUUAGGUAGUUGGUGGGGUAAAGGCCUACCAAGCCGACGAUCUGUAGCUGGUCUGAGAGGACGACCAGCCACACUGGGACUGAGACACGGCCCAGACUCCUACGGGAGGCAGCAGUGGGGAAUUUUGGACAAUGGGCGCAAGCCUGAUCCAGCAAUGCCGCGUGCGGGAAGAAGGCCUUCGGGUUGUAAACCGCUUUUGUACGGAACGAAAAGGCUCUGGCUAAUACCUGGGGCUGAUGACGGUACCGUAAGAAUAAGCACCGGCUAACUACGUG